GUGGGGAAUCUUCCGCAAUGGACGAAAGUCUGACGGAGCAACGCCGCGUGAGUGAAGAAGGUUUUCGGAUCGUAAAGCUCUUUCGUUAGGGACGAACGUGCUCUUUGUGAAUAAUGAGGAGUAAUGACGGUACCUAAAUAAGAAGCCACGGCUAACUACGUGCCAGCAGCCGCGGUAAUACGUAGGUGGCAAGCGUUGUCCGGAAUUAUUGGGCGUAAAGCGCGCGCAGGCGGGAUAUCAAGUCUGUCUUAAAAGUGCGAGGCUCAACCUCGUGAGGGGACAGAAACUGGUAUUCUUGAGUGUCGGAGAGGAAAGUGGAAUUCCAAGGGUAGCGGUGAAAUGCGUAGAGAUUUGGAAGAACACCAGUGGCGAAGGCGACUUUCUGGACGAUGUCUGACGCUGAGGCGCGAAAGCUAGGGGAGCGAACGGGAUUAGAAACCCGUGUAGUCC
Molecule: ribosomal RNA, 450 nt
Filed under: uncultured bacterium
Lineage: Bacteria
Description: partial 16S ribosomal RNA
Rfam family: Bacterial small subunit ribosomal RNA
Source: RNAcentral